CGGCCUUGGCGGCCUGUGGCGCUGUCGCCUUCCUGGGCUACUGUGUUUACUUCGACCGGAAGCGGCGUGGCGACCCCGCGUUCAAGCGCCGUCUGCGGGACAAAAGAAGAACCCAGGAGCAAAAGGCUGAGGGACAGGGCCCUGCCCAGGUGAAGUGCUUAGCGACGCCUCGGUGGAGUUAUAUUGUGGGAUCCAGCAAAGAAUGAAAAAUUGCAAGAACUUUUUCUGCAGGAGGUACGAAUGGGAGAACUUUGGUUAUCUAGAGGGACCCCCAAAUGAUAUCGAGGCCCUCAGAAAAUCUGGAUUGAUCUUUAGAUAUGGAUACUCCUUGGGUAUAGGGGCAAUUAAAAUAGUACCUGUACAAUUUAACAUUUAUUGAAUUGGGGUAGUAUAACUAUGGAGGGGGAAAUUCUGAAUAUUAAAUCAAAAGAAAAAAAUAACAAUUAUUUAUUAAUUUUAUUUUUAUUCACUCUGUUUAAGAACUAUCAUGUAACAGUUUAGACUUAGAAAUCAAUAUGAUACAGAUAAUGAGAUGAAUAAAACAACUAGUGUUUUUAAACUUUUCCCUCUCAAAGGUGAUCACAUUAUUUCUGUGAAACCCUAAAUUGAUUAAUUAGCUCUUCAAGUGUUAUGUACUUCUACUAUAUUUUACCUCAAAUGCAGUUUUCAAUCUUGCUUAUUCUGUAACUCCCCACUGAACCCCAAACCAAUUAAAUCAGCAUCUCUGGGGGUUGGACUCCAGCAUCAGUAUUUUUUAAAUCUCCCUAGGUUAUUACAACAUAAAUCCAACGUUGAGAACCAGUAUUCUAAUGCAAUCAUUUUUGACCCAAUUUUUGUUAACCUUUUUCAAUUUUCUUGUCCUUUCUGCUGCCACCACCAAAUGUCAUUACUUUGCUGUCAGGUAAUAUAGUUCUGUUGCCAUCUCAAUUGUGCUUAUGUCUAUAUUGGGACCAUAAUUUUGAUUGAAAUUUUUGAUUAGCUAUUGGUUGGUUGACUUAAUUGAUCAAAUUGAUUAUUGUUUUGGGUCUCAUUAGCUCCAUCAGGUUGAGAGCAGGCAUUCUAUCCUUUAAGACUCAGUACAUUCAAAGUAUUUCGACUUAAUGUAUCAUUUCCAAAAGUCUGUAAUUUUAUGAGUUUAAAAUAAACCUUUUAGUGAAAUGUUUCACGUAAUAAAUAGCUUCUUUAAAUGCCUAAGAAAGGUUACUAAAAACCCAGCAAUGAAAAUUUCUUAGGUUCAAAACAAAAUUAGGUUAUCUAUAGGUAUCUAUAAAUGCAAAACCUUGUCUUAAAUCCUACUUAAUAUUGACAAGUCUUGCUUUGUCUAUGUAUCUAAGUAUGUCUUUCUCAUAGUUUUUAGGUUAAGCUUAAUACAGAUCUUUGGGAAGCAGUUUUUUUCUGUCCAUCAUUCCCUUUUUCUUCAUACAAUCAUGUAUUUCAACCAAUGAGUGGCAGAUUUCAUUAGAAUCUAACAAUAUAUUUAACUGUAGAGAAAUGUAUUUUAUUUCCUACCUAAUUAUAUUAAAUAUGUGUCAAAAUUUCAACUGCUUUUAUUACAUAAUACCUGAAGUGAGGCAGUACAAUCUAGUCUCAAGGUUCAGAAAAUUAGGUUCUGUUACUAAUUCUGGCAUUAAUUAGCUUUGAAAUCUUAAUUUCACUGAUCUUUGCCUCAGUUUCCUAAAACAGAGGAGUGAAAUUCAGUGAUUCCAUGUUCUAACAUAAACAGAAAUUCUAUGAUUAAUAGCUACUCUUCACAAAUUUUCAUUCUUAGUUAUUUUACAACUAAAACUUGACUUAGAAAUCAAAGUUCAUAAAUCUUAUUUUCUUCCCCUGGAUCUGUAAUUCGUGUUACACUACAUUUUGUUUUCAACUCCGACAAUAGAAUCUAUUUUUAAAGUGUCAUUUUGCCGGAACAGAUGUUUCAUAUAUUUCAUCAAUCACACAUGUAAGGAUAAACUACCUUUAUCCAAGUAAGGAUAAAAUAACAGAACACAACCUUUAAAAAGAACUCAGUAUCCACCCCUCCUGCGUACCCAAAUUGCGGAACAUGGACAUUUCCAAAACAAGAAAACUUUUGAACAGUAAGAGUGUACUUAACUGUAAUUUUGGUCAUAAUGUAAUUCAUAUUUCAGCUUGACCACAGUGAAUCUAAUUGGCAGCUCAACAUUUCUCCUCACUUUUAUACUCUUUAUGAGACUUACUUGAUAUGCUUUUUAAGUUUUAAUGCUUGGUGCUUUUUUUGUAAUUUGUAGAAUGUAUACUUUGUAGAACUUAAAAAUUUUGUUUUAAACUUAUCAAUCUGUUUCAGGAGAGCACGGAAUGGGGGUUGAACAUCUCAGCAAUGCCCUUUUAGUAUGUGGGCAACCACAGGAGCUUCUGAACAUUUUUAAACACACACUCCCUCCCAAGGUAUUUGAGAUGCUAUUACACAAAAUUCCCCUUAUUUGCCAGGUGAGCAAAUAUUUAAUUAUUUUUGUGACAUGAACACAAUAACUAUGUUGGGCUUGAUUAUACAGAAAUAGCAAAGUAUGUGUGUGAAUGGCCCAAAGUUUUAAAUGAGUAAAAUCCCUGAAGUUUUGUUUGCUUUUCUUGCUUUAAGAUGAAACAAGCCAAUUUUUUCGUGGUGCUUUGACUAUAACAAAUUGUCUAUUUUGUUGCAUAUUAUACGUUUCAACAGUUAAUUUUUAAAGAUAGCACUGUUAAUAUUUUUGUUGAUCUUUGUACUUUCAAAUAUAUCAUAGUUAUUGACUGUAAUGUCUACAGAGACCUUUAAGUUAAGUGGUAUCGUUAAUUAAAGGACCUAAUGGCGUAAGAAUUAGAUUUAACGUAGGAAACAGUAAAUUAUCAAAGCAGAACAACCCUUCUAAUUUCCAUUAAUAUGGCAAAACAUAAAGACAUCACUUUGGUAAAUUUAAACAUAUAGGCUAGUUAGUGUUCUCUUAAGUACAAGUUUAGAUUGGUAUCAAAUGAAAUCCAUUUGUAAGUUAAUUUAUCAGUAGGUAUGGUGUUUCCUUGAAAAUAAGGCCUAGCCGGACAAUCAGC
Rhinolophus ferrumequinum (greater horseshoe bat) is the source of this 3039-nucleotide RNA transcript. It is a transcript of the gene named translocase of outer mitochondrial membrane 20 like, with no coding region annotated. The transcript is spliced from 4 exons. Lineage: Eukaryota; Metazoa; Chordata; Mammalia; Chiroptera; Rhinolophidae. The record is from RefSeq and is a predicted model, not a curated record.